Molecule: long non-coding RNA, 2637 nt
Organism: Gossypium raimondii (Peruvian cotton)
Lineage: Eukaryota; Viridiplantae; Streptophyta; Magnoliopsida; Malvales; Malvaceae
Exons: 3
Source: RefSeq, a predicted model, not a curated record
AUGUUAACUUCACCUCAAGGACAGAAACAGAACCCCCCAAAAGCCGUGCAAAAAGUCCCACCUAGUGAAUCACAUAAAGAUUUGUGGCUUAGAUCUUCGUCGCUUAAGAAGCCACCGGAGCCGUUGCGUCGUGUGGUGGCAGAAUCUCUUUCGUCUUCUUCGCUUGCGGCUGUGGCUGAAGGAGUUAGCUCGCAUCAUCAAGGGGGCCCUUGAUUUUAUUUUAUUUUUCCAGUAUUUUUCCUCUUUAUUUUCUUCGCUUCAUUUUCUUUGAGAUUUUGUUUUGUUUUUCCAGUAUUUUUCCUCUUUAUUUUGGUUUUAAUUUUUUUUCAUAUUUGAAGAAUCUUCGAUUGUUUUCUAUAGACUCAUUUCUUGAUCGGAGUUUGGCUUUAAUUUAUGUCAGUUUGAAUGUCUCAGCAGUACUGACAGCGGCUUGUGGUUUUCCACAAUUUUACCUCUAAUUGAAGGCACGUAUAUAGUUAAAACUAUAUAAUCAGACCAUAUACAAUUAGUCAUUGAAAUUUUGAAGAAAAAAACAAACAAACGUGGCUUCAUGUCAUUCCCUUCUCUCCGUGGCUCCAUUUGUCCAGAGAUUUGAGGAGGAAGGAGCCUUGGUUUCGGGUCAAUCAAAGAAGAACUGUCGUUAGGGCAUCGAAUUGGUUCGAUCAAAAGUCUCCCUAUGAAACUCUUGAGUUAGAAAGGGAUGCUGAUGAAGAACAGAUAAAGAUUUCAUAUAGACGUUUGGCCAAAUUCUAUCAUCCUGAUGGUAUGCGUCCCUUUAAAGUUUCAUAAGUGAAAUAUGUGUUCUUACUAACUUGAUUUUGUUUUCUUCCAUCUUUUGGGCAUUGGUGUUGUGAUUGAGAAUGAAAAUUUUGCGUUGGAAUAUUUGGAGGCUGGGCAAAUUAAAUGUAGGUCUUUAAAUAAAGUGAAUAGAAGUUUAAAAAAUAGAAAUGGUUUAUACUAAACUCUGUUUUAUUGAUUACUGUUGAGGGUUAUAAAAUGAGCUGAACAACAAGGAACAUCAAGGGUUUAACUUUUAAGUAGCGGGAUUAAGGUAAUAUCGUAAGAGUUUAAUUGCCCUUGAAGGUGGCUUUUGCUUAGAAACAAAAAUAAAUAGUUCUGAUGUUCUAAAAGGUUAGAGAGUUUGGCCUUCAGAUAAUUUUGUAUGGCUUGCAGUUUCAGCUAAUGGGCUUUCAGGUGGAAUUGAACUAUUUGAAAUAUUAGGAGUUUUUGGUUGGUAAGAAAGGUGACUUGUGAUUUUACAUGUUGCCGGGAGAACUGUUUUGCAAACUUUUUGGUAGAGAUGAAAUCAUUGAUCUCAAUUGUUUCACGCUUGUUUGUGAUGAUUUCUGUCUUAUCUUCCAACAAUUCCCGAAAAGGCUUUUGUAUUUAGCUUUGGUGUCAUUCUUUGCUUUGUUCAUGAGCACUGCUUAGCUUAUUAAAUUAGAUCCAUUGUCUUUGUUUGGUCUUGUAUUAACCAUCCAUUGAAUCAUAAUGGUUGAAUCUCUUGAGUGUGAUUAUCUAUAAGAAGUAUUAGAAGAAACAUAUUAAUAAAAAAGCUCACAAGGUUAAAGUUUACAGAAAGUUAUUCCACUUAAGAGGUAGAUUGAUCUCUAAAAUAAAUAUUAUUUUUCCAUCUGUCUGCUAGGCUAGUUACAGAACUGCUGAAUUCUGGAUUGAAAUCCAUUUCUUUAAAGAACUGCUAGAAUGAUGUCCCUUGAAAGUGCUUGAUUAAUUUUGCUAUUUAUGUCUGAUUCUUGCUAAUAUUUGUGAUUCCAGCUGGCAUUGAUAACCGUAAGUAGUAGAUCUUCAUAAGCAUUGGUUAAUUCACAAAAGACUUGCACUGCUUGAGUAUAUGAGGUUCCUAUAAGUGAAAUAAAAAAUAGUAUAACUAUCUCAAAGUUUUAAGUGUCUAUGACGUGUUUGAUAUUUCAUAUCAAAAUACACAUCCAUAGCGUAGCCCUUUUAAUUAAUGGAUUUUAUUUGUGGAAGUUUUCCUAUGAAUAGUAAGAUGGUUUUCUUAACUACAUAACAAUUUUGGGGGACGAAACUGGGGACAGAACUGCUUUCUUAACAAUUUUAGUAGUUUUUUUUUUUUCUAUAAUCUUUGCAAGAGCUGUCAAGGAUGACAAUGUUACGAAAUCUCCGUGCAGGAGGCAGAGUUGUUGACAAAUAUCACAGUAAUUUUUGUCUUUUUACAUUUCAAAUAAAACCAUUUUUAUUUUAUUUUAUACAUGUUGAUAUUUGAACUCAUUAGCAUCCAUUUCUUCAUCUUCAUUUCUUGAAGCAUCAGAGGUUUCUUGAAGCUUUAAGGUUGUAUGGUCGUGGCUGGCGCCAAAUAGAAGAGCAUGUAGGCACCAAAUCUGCUGUUCAAAUUUGAAGCCAUGCUCAAAGGUUUUUCUCUAAGGCUCAUUGCUUUGAGUUCAUUACAAGAUUUCCUUGAUUAAGUAAAUGUAUUAUAUCUUUUAUUACCAAGAUUUACUUGAUUAAGAAAAUGCAUUGUAUUUUUUAUUACCUUGCAAUGUGUAUAGUCAUAGGCAGGUUCAACUAGUCAGUCUGCUUCUCAUAUGUAUUAUUUAUUUUAGUUUUGAUUCUAAGUUUUUAUUUUUACUUUAAUAUUUACGACAACUUGAGUUCUAA